AGUGAACGCUGGCGGUAUGCCUAACACAUGCAAGUCGAACGGCAGCACAGUAAGAGCUUGCUCUUACGGGUGGCGAGUGGCGGACGGGUGACGAAUACAUCGGACUCUACUUUUUCGUGGGGGAUAACGUAGGUAAACUUACGCUAAUACCGCAUACGACCUACGGGUGAAAGCAGGGGAUCUUCGGACCUUGCGCGAUUGCAUGAGCCGAUGUCGGAUUAGUUAGUUGGCGGGGUAAAGGCCCACCAAGGCGACGACCCGUAGCUGGUCUGAGCGGAUGAUCGGCCACACUAGAACUGAGACACGGUCCAGACUCCUACGGGAGGCAGCAGUGGGGAAUAUUAGACAAUGGGCGCAAGCCUGAUCCAGCCAUACCGCGUGGGUGAAGAAGGCCUUCGGGUUGUAAAGCCCUUUUGUUGGGAAAGAAAAGCAGCAGGUUAAUACCACGCUGUUCUGACGGUACCCAAAGAAUAAGCACCGGCUAACUUCGUG
Molecule: ribosomal RNA, 492 nt
Filed under: uncultured bacterium
Lineage: Bacteria
Description: partial 16S ribosomal RNA
Rfam family: Bacterial small subunit ribosomal RNA
Source: RNAcentral